CUUCCACCACGCAGAAGCUUUACUUUCGCUUUCACUUUACUUUUGCUUUCACUUUAACAAAUCUUGCAGCCGCACACUCUUUGGGUCCGCCCGUUUCUCUAAUCAAGUUGUAACACUCGCUGCUGUGGUCCACAGCUUCAUUCCUUGAAGCCCGUGAGACACGAACGCUUCCAUUGAGAAAAACCUUCCAUCAGAAGAAGACUUCUCGUCUCAGUGGGACUGCUGAGUUGAAUGGGUGAUGCACCGAACUACCCAG
This 256-nucleotide long non-coding RNA is filed under the name Homo sapiens (human). RNAcentral describes it as "HSALNT0378402". The record is from RNAcentral. Lineage: Eukaryota; Metazoa; Chordata; Mammalia; Primates; Hominidae.